CGGGGAUCCCGGUUUCCCAGCCCCCUUCCGGCAGGCAGCAGCCCGGGCGGGGGACACACUCCGUGAUCCCCUCCUGGCUGGAGGGGUCAGGCUUGGUGGACCCAGCAAGCAGCCUGAUGGAGAAGGUGGCACCAGACGCAGACCCCUACCGUCCAGGACCGCAAGCCCUCGCCGGCUCUGCGUGCUUUUAGGUUUUGUCUCCACCUCUGCACACCCACACUCGCCUCCUGGGCCGCGACAGCUUCCUUCUGUCAAUCAGGUGUGGACGGGAAGGUCUCGAAGUUUCCUCGCCUGAGUUGAAAGCUGGAGGUGGGGGCACCUCUGCCCGUUCCUAACUGCCCCGUUAUAAGGUCCCCCUCCCCACAAUUGGUUCUCACCUCGCCCUCGGAGCUCUUGGGAGAUCCCUCCGUCCCUCCUACUGUGCCCUCGGGCAGAUGAGUCUGGUCCCAGCUUCUGGACUGCCCACUGUCGGCCACUUGAGAGUUGGGGACGGUGGGGCAUUGUGACGCUCUCCAACCUUGGAACACGGUGGCAAAGUGGCCGAUCAAUAUAUGGGACAAGUGGGGGCGGGGGGGCGGACUCUAAGGUGGAAAAAACAAUACUACUUGGGAUUUAAGGAAGCAAUCUGGAUUCUGUCUCCCCUUGGUUCUUCGGAGCUUAGAGGUCUAACGGCGACAUUCCUCCUACAGUCUUCCUUAAUAUAUGUCAGCAGUGGAGUGGUGUGCUUAAGGAGAGAGAGACUUGGAAAAAUACAGACCGAGAACAAGGCCAUGUGGAGAUAGAGGCAGAGACUGAAGUUGUACCACCAAAGGCAAAGAAUAUCAAGUAUUAUCAGUAACCACAGGAAGCUGGAAGAGGCCAGGAAAGGUUUUUCUUAGAGACCUUGGAAGGAGCCUGACCCUGGAACACCUUGAUUUUAGACUUCUGACCCUCAAAAUUGUGAAAGAAUAAAUUUCUGUUGUUUUAA
RNAcentral lists this long non-coding RNA (967 nucleotides) under Homo sapiens (human). RNAcentral describes it as "HSALNT0367643". Lineage: Eukaryota; Metazoa; Chordata; Mammalia; Primates; Hominidae. The record is from RNAcentral.